GCCUUCGUGGUGUAGUGGUCUGCAUUCUCGACGCGUAACCGAGAGGUCCGUGGUUCGAUUCCCGGCGAAGGCG
Non-coding RNA from Stegodyphus mimosarum, 73 nucleotides. Lineage: Eukaryota; Metazoa; Arthropoda; Arachnida; Araneae; Eresidae. The record is from Rfam.